ACCUCACACACCCUGCUUCAGUACAACACACACCUCACACACCCUGCAUCAGUACAACACACACCUCACACACCCUGCUUCAGUACAACACACACUUCACACACCCUGCAUCAGUACAACACACACAGAAACUAUAAUCAACAGGUUCUGUACCUCCUAUGGACAGAAACUAUAAUCAACAGGUUCUGUACCUCCUAUGGACAGAAACUAUAAUCAACAGGUUCUCUACCUCCUAUGGACAGAAACUAUAAUCAACAGGUUCUCUACCUCCUAUGGACAGAAACUAUAAUCAACAGGUUCUGUACCUCCUAUGGACAGAAACUAUAAUCAACAGGUUCUCUACCUCCUAUGGACAGACACUAUAAUCAACAGGUUCUCUACCUCCUAUGGACAGACACUAUAAUCAACAGGUUCUCUACCUCCUAUGGACAGACACUAUAAUCAACAGGUUCUCUACCUCCUAUGGACAG
This is a long non-coding RNA of Oncorhynchus keta (chum salmon), 470 nucleotides long. RefSeq lists it as uncharacterized. The transcript is spliced from 3 exons. NCBI's taxonomy places the organism in Eukaryota, Metazoa, Chordata, Actinopteri, Salmoniformes, Salmonidae. The record is from RefSeq and is a predicted model, not a curated record.